GGCGAACGCUGGCGGCGUGCUUAACACAUGCAAGUCGAACGGAAAGGCCCUGCUUGCAGGGUACUCGAGUGGCGAACGGGUGAGUAACACGUGGGUGAUCUGCCCUGCACUUCGGGAUAAGCCUGGGAAACUGGGUCUAAUACCGGAUAGGAGCCAUUUUUAGUGUGAUGGUUGGAAAGUUUUUUCGGUGUAGGAUGAGCUCGCGGCCUAUCAGCUUGUUGGUGGGGUAAUGGCCUACCAAGGCGGCGACGGGUAGCCGGCCUGAGAGGGUGGACGGCCACAUUGGGACUGAGAUACGGCCCAGACUCCUACGGGAGGCAGCAGCGGGGAAUAUUGCACAAUGGGCGCAAGCCUGAUGCAGCGACGCCGCGUGGGGGAUGACGGCCUUCGGGUUGUAAACUCCUUUCGCUAGGGACGAAGCUUUUUGUGACGGUACCUAGAUAAGAAGCACCGGCUAACUACGUG
This 465-nucleotide ribosomal RNA is filed under the name uncultured bacterium. Its description in RNAcentral is "partial 16S ribosomal RNA". It matches the Rfam family "Bacterial small subunit ribosomal RNA", at positions 28 to 507 of the family's 1533-position model. The record is from RNAcentral.